Molecule: ribosomal RNA, 253 nt
Filed under: uncultured bacterium
Lineage: Bacteria
Description: partial 16S ribosomal RNA
Rfam family: Bacterial small subunit ribosomal RNA
Source: RNAcentral
UACGUAGGCAGCGAGCGUUGUUCGGAGUUACUGGGCGUAAAGGGUGUGUAGGCGGUUGUUUAAGUUUGGUGUGAAAUCUCCCGGCUUAACCGGGGAACUGCGUCUGAUACUGGAUGGCUAGAGAUUGGGAGAGGGAUGCGGAAUUCCAGGUGUAGCGGUGAAAUGCGUAGAUAUCUGGAGGAACACCGGUGGCGAAGGCGGCAUCCUGGACCAAUACUGACGCUGAGGAGCGAAAGCCAGGGGAGCAAACGGG